GCGGAGGAAAAGAAAAUAACAAUGAUUCCUCUAGUAACUGCGAGUGAAGAGGGAAAAGCUCAAAUUUUAAAUCUGUUAGGUUUACCUAACCGAGUUGUAAUUUGAAGAAGCGUUUUCUGCGAAUUUGGUUAGUCCAAAUCCUUUGGAAUAAGGUAUCAUGGAGGGUGAGAAUCCCGUUCGGUUAACCAAAGCGCUUUACGAUACGCUUUCAAAGAGUCAAGUUGUUUGGGAUUGCAGCUUAAAAUGGGAGGUAAAUUUCUCCUAAGGCUAAAUAUUGGCGAGAGACCGAUAGCGAACAAGUACCGUGAGGGAAAGAUGAAAAGAACUUUGAAAAGAGAGUUAAACAGUACGUGAAAUUGUUGAAAGGGAAACGAUUAAAGCCAGUCGUACCUACGAGUGAUCAACCUACUCGAGUGCGAUUUUGUGGGUAUGUUUGAGCUUAAAAACCUUCAUGCUUACAAAUUGGUGCUCUUUGGGCGUACUUUCUCGUAUGGUAGGUUAACAUCAAUUUCGAUCGUUAUAAAAUGACUGGAGGAAUGUAGCUUCGAUUUCGGUUGAAGUGUUAUAGCCUUUGGUAGAUGUAAUGAUUGGGAUUGAGGAUUGCAACGGAUACCCUCUGGGCUAUUCGUCUGAUCUCUGGAAGUUACCUUGGUGUCGAAAGCGUGCUUACGAUAUUAAGGUUGACGGCCAAUAGGUUAGAACGUGAUUAAAUUCGUUAAGGAUGUUGACGUAAUGGCUUUAAACGACCCGUCUUGA
This 756-nucleotide ribosomal RNA is filed under the name Glomeromycotina sp. OTU3 DJMC-2012. Its description in RNAcentral is "eukaryotic LSU rRNA". It matches the Rfam family "Eukaryotic large subunit ribosomal RNA", at positions 50 to 657 of the family's 3401-position model. The record is from RNAcentral. Lineage: Eukaryota; Fungi; Glomeromycota.